AGAGUUUGAUCAUGGCUCAGAUUGAACGCUGGCGGCACGCCUAACACAUGCAAGUCGAGCGGUAACAUGUUUAGUAGUAAUACUAGAUGAUGACGAGCGGCGGACGGGUGAGGAAAACGUAGGAACUUGCCCAUAAGAGGGGGACAACCAAGGGAAACUUUGGCUAAUACCGCAUAAACUCGAGAGAGAAAAGCUGCCGCGAGGUAGCGCUUAUGGAGAGGCCUGCGUCCGAUUAGCUAGUUGGUGAGGUAAGAGCUCACCAAGGCGAUGAUCGGUAACUGGUCUGAGAGGACGACCAGUCACACUGGGACUGAGACACGGCCCAGACUCCUACGGGAGGCAGCAGUGGGGAAUCUUGGACAAUGGGGGCAACCCUGAUCCAGCGAUGCCGCGUGAGUGAAGAAGGCCUUCGGGUCGUAAAGCUCUUUAGGUUGGGAAGAAGGGUGUGAGGGGAUAAUCCUUACAUUUUGACGGUACCGACGGAAUAAGCACCGGCAAACUCUGUGCCAGCAGCCGCGGUAAUACAGAGGGUGCGAGCGUUAAUCGGAGUAACUGGGCGUAAAGGGCGCGUAGGCGGUGCUAUGAGUGUGAUGUGAAAGCCCCGGGCUUAACCUGGGAAGUGCAUCGCAAACGAUAGUACUGGAGUAGAUGAGAGGGUGGCGGAAUUUCCGGUGUAGCGGUGAAAUGCGUAGAGAUCGGAAGGAACGUCGAUGGCGAAAGCAGCCACCUGGCAUCAUACUGACGCUGAGCGCGAAAGCGUGGGGAGCGAACAGGAUUAGAUACCCUGGUAGUCCACGCUGUAAACGAUGAGACUAAAGUUGUUAGGGAACCUAGCAGUCUUGAAGCUACGCGAUAAGUCUUCCGCCUGGGAAGUACGGCCGCAAGUGAAACUCAAUGAUGACGGGGCCGCACAGCGGUGGAGCAUGUGGUUUACUCGAUGCACGCGAGACCUUACCUACCCUUGACAUCCUGCGAAUUCUGC
RNAcentral lists this ribosomal RNA (982 nucleotides) under uncultured bacterium. Its description in RNAcentral is "bacterial SSU rRNA". It matches the Rfam family "Bacterial small subunit ribosomal RNA", at positions 8 to 1001 of the family's 1533-position model. The record is from RNAcentral.